RNAcentral lists this ribosomal RNA (800 nucleotides) under uncultured bacterium. RNAcentral's name for it is "bacterial SSU rRNA". It matches the Rfam family "Bacterial small subunit ribosomal RNA", at positions 8 to 852 of the family's 1533-position model. The record is from RNAcentral.
AGAGUUUGAUCCUGGCUCAGGAUGAACGCUGGCGGUGUGGAUAAGGCAUGCAAGUCAAACGGCUCGCAAGAGCAGUGGCAGACGAGGUAGUAACACGUAGGUACAUCCCCUAAAGUCAGGGAUAACUAGCCGAAAGGUUAGCUAAUACUUGAUAGUCUCUUCGGAGUAAAGAUUUAUCGCUUUAGGACUGGCCUGCGGAGUAUCAGCUAGUUGGUAGGGUAACGGCCUACCAAGGCUAUGACGCUUAGAAGGAGUGAGAGCUUGGCCUUCACCGAUGGAACUGAGACACGGUCCAUACACCUACGGGUGGCAGUAGCCGAGAAUAUUCGACAAUGGGCGAAAGCCUGAUCGAGCGACACCGCGUGAUUGAUGAAGUCCCUCUGGGACGUAAAAAUCUUUUAUGAGCUACUAAGUUUAUUGAAGGGCUCAUGAAUAAGGGGUUGCUAAACUCGUGCCAGCAGCAGCGGUAAUACGAGUGCCCCAAGCGUUAUCCGGAAUCAUUGGGCGUAAAGGGUGUGUAGGUGGUUAUGUUAGUCUUUUGUUAAAGCCCGAGGCCCAACCUCGGAAAGGCAAAGGAUACGGCAUAACUAGAGGAUGUGAGGGGUCAGUGGAACUCAUGGAGUAGGGGUGAAAUCCGUUGAUAUCAUGGGGAACACCAAAAGCGAAGGCAACUGACUGGCGCAUUCCUGACACUGAAACACGAAAGCGUGGGUAGCGAAUGGGAUUAGAUACCCCAGUAGUCCACGCCCUAAACGUUCUUCUCUAGGUUUUCGGAGUAUCGACCCUCUGAGAGCCGUAGC